GACUCCGUCUUUUGACUUGGAGACAAUCGUUCCCAUUGGUCUCUUUCCUCCAACCGGUCCAAUCGUUCAUACAGCCUUAGAAACUUAGAUCUCACAAUUCUACGUAUUUCAUUCAUCACAUAUUGAAAAUCUGAUUCUGAAAGCUCUUCUUGAAACAUGAUUUUAUUACUAAAAAAAAAAGAAAAGUGAUUAAAACAAAAAAAAAUUAAAUUCCU
Molecule: long non-coding RNA, 215 nt
Filed under: Gossypium raimondii (Peruvian cotton)
Lineage: Eukaryota; Viridiplantae; Streptophyta; Magnoliopsida; Malvales; Malvaceae
Description: long non-coding RNA (GRAI_LNC001319)
Source: RNAcentral